Molecule: ribosomal RNA, 376 nt
Filed under: Blastocystis hominis
Lineage: Eukaryota; Bigyra; Opalinata; Blastocystidae
Description: bacterial SSU rRNA
Rfam family: Eukaryotic small subunit ribosomal RNA
Source: RNAcentral
CAGCCGCGGUAAUUCCAGCUCCAAUAGCGUAUAUUAACGUUGUUGCAGUUAAAAAGCUCGUAGUUGAAAUGAAGGGUAGUUGUGUAAUGAAUACAUUCGUGUAUUUUGUUAUUCUACUACCCUCCUUCUAAAUUCGAUAUAUGAGUAUUAAUUUACUUGUAUAUGGUUUUAGACGUUUACUGUGAGAAAAUUAGAGUGUUCAAAGCAGGCAUUUGCUUGAAUAUAUUAGCAUGGAAUAAUCAUGUAUGAUUUUCAUGAUGUAUUUGAUUGGUUUGGUUCAUGAGAAUAAGAUUAAAAGGGACAGUUGGGGGUAUUCAUAUUCAAUAGUCAGAGGUGAAAUUCUCGGAUUUAUGGAAGAUGAACAAGUGCGAAAGCA